RNAcentral lists this ribosomal RNA (252 nucleotides) under uncultured bacterium. RNAcentral's name for it is "partial 16S ribosomal RNA". It matches the Rfam family "Bacterial small subunit ribosomal RNA", at positions 524 to 776 of the family's 1533-position model. The record is from RNAcentral.
UGCGUAGGUGGCGAGCGUUAUCCGGAAUGAUUGGGCGUAAAGGGUGCGUAGGCGGCCUGCUAAGUCUGGAGUGAAAGGUACCGGCUCAACCGGUACAGGCUCUGGAAACUGGCGGGCUAGAGAGCAGGAGAGGGCGGUGGAACUCCAUGUGUAGCGGUAAAAUGCGUAGAUAUAUGGAGGAACACCGGUGGCGAAAGCGGCUCUCUGGCCUGUAACUGACACUGAGGCUCGAAAGCGUGGGGAGCAAACAGG